This 501-nucleotide ribosomal RNA is filed under the name Vanrija musci. RNAcentral describes it as "eukaryotic LSU rRNA". It matches the Rfam family "Eukaryotic large subunit ribosomal RNA", at positions 123 to 620 of the family's 3401-position model. The record is from RNAcentral. Lineage: Eukaryota; Fungi; Basidiomycota; Tremellomycetes; Trichosporonales; Trichosporonaceae.
GGCUGUCUUCGAUAGUCCGAGUUGUAAUCUAUAGACGUGUUUUCCGUGCUGGACCGUAUCUAAGUCCCUUGGAACAGGGUAUCAAAGAGGGUGACAAUCCCGUGCUUGAUACGACCACCAGUGCUCUGUGAUACACGCUCUACGAGUCGAGUUGUUUGGGAAUGCAGCUCAAAAUGGGUGGUAAAUUCCAUCUAAAGCUAAAUAUUGGCGAGAGACCGAUAGCGAACAAGUACCGUGAGGGAAAGAUGAAAAGCACUUUGGAAAGAGAGUUAAACAGUACGUGAAAUUGUUGAAAGGGAAACGAUUGAAGUCAGUCGUGUUCUUUGGAUUCAGCUAGUUCUUCUAGUCUACUUCCAUUGAACGGGUCAACAUCAGUUUUGUCCGGUGGAUAAAGAUAGUAGGAAUGUAGCUCCCCCGGGAGUGUUAUAGACUAUUAUUGCAUACACUGGGUGAGACUGAGGACUGCAGCUCGCCUUUUGGCCGGUCUUCGGACACGUUCGA